Molecule: ribosomal RNA, 411 nt
Filed under: uncultured microorganism
Description: bacterial SSU rRNA
Rfam family: Archaeal small subunit ribosomal RNA
Source: RNAcentral
UGGCUGCAGUCGCGAAACCUUUACAAUGCGCGCAAGCGUGAUAGGGGGAUUUCGAGUGCAAGCUUUGCUUGCUUUUGCCAAGUUUAAAACGCUUGGCGAAUAAGUGGGGGGCAAGAUACGUGCCAGCCGCCGCGGUAAUACGUACCCCACAAGUGGUGUCCACUAAUAUUGGGCCUAAAGCGCCUGUAGCCGGCUUAACGCGUCCUUGGUGAAAGCCAAUAGCUCAACUAUUGGAAGAGCCAAAGAUACGGUUAGGCUUGAGGUCGGAAGAGGUCAAGGGAAUGUCCGGGGUAACGGUGAAAUGUUGUGAUCCCGGAUGGACCACCAGUAGCGAAGGCGCUUGACCAGAACGAACCUGACGGUGAGAGACGAAAGCUGGGGGAGCGACCCGGAUUAGAUACCCUAGUAGUC